GAUGAACGCUGGCGGCGUGCCUAAUACAUGCAAGUCGAGCGAACGGACGAGGAGCUUGCUUCUCUGAUGUUAGCGGCGGACGGGUGAUUAACACGGGGACAACCUACCUAUAAGACUGGGAUAACUUCGGGAAACCGGAGCUAAGACCGGAUAAUAUUUUGAACCGCAUGGUUCAAAAGUGAAAGACGGUCUUGCUGUCACUUAUAGAUGGAUCCGCGCUGCAUUAGCUAGUUGGUAAGGUAACGGCUUACCAAGGCAACGAUGCAUAGCCGCCCUGCAAGGGUGAUAGGCCACACUGGAACUGAGACACGGUCCAGACUCCUACGGGAGGCAGCAGUAGGGAAUCUUCCGCAAUGGGCGAAAGCCUGACGGAGCAACGCCGCGUGAGUGAUGAAGGUCUUCGGAUCGUAAAACUCUGUUAUUAGGGAAGAACAUAUGUGUAAGUAACUGUGCACAUCUUGACGGUACCUAAUCAGAAAGCCACGGCUAACUACGUG
This 497-nucleotide ribosomal RNA is filed under the name uncultured bacterium. Its description in RNAcentral is "partial 16S ribosomal RNA". It matches the Rfam family "Bacterial small subunit ribosomal RNA", at positions 28 to 507 of the family's 1533-position model. The record is from RNAcentral.